RNAcentral lists this ribosomal RNA (274 nucleotides) under uncultured bacterium. Its description in RNAcentral is "partial 16S ribosomal RNA". It matches the Rfam family "Bacterial small subunit ribosomal RNA", at positions 523 to 796 of the family's 1533-position model. The record is from RNAcentral.
AUACGGAGGGUGCAAGCGUUGUUGGGAAUUACUGGGCGUAAAGCGCGCGUAGGCGGUCUGUUAUGUCAGAUGAGAAAGUCCUCGGCUCAACCGGGGAAGUGCAUUUGAAACUGGCAGACUUGAGUACUGGAGGGGGUGGUGGAAUUCCCGGUGUAGCGGUGAAAUGCGUAGAUAUCGGGAGGAAGGCCGAUGGCGAAGGCGGCCCUCUGGCGCUCAACUGACGCUGAGGCCCGAAAGCGUGGGGAGCAAACAGGAUUAGAAACCCUAGUAGUCC